RNAcentral lists this long non-coding RNA (1530 nucleotides) under Anas platyrhynchos platyrhynchos (common mallard). RNAcentral's name for it is "lncRNA (ENSAPLG00000025147.1)". The record is from RNAcentral. Lineage: Eukaryota; Metazoa; Chordata; Aves; Anseriformes; Anatidae.
AGGUUUAUUUGAGUCCAAGACUUGCUGAGUAAUAUCAGAAUUCAUUUUCCUCACUGCCAAAAUCCAAUGUCUUGAGGUAUCACUAAGCAAACCUCUUAUUGCAAUUUUAUUUCCAAGCUAUUUGAUUUCUUAAGUCACUCCAAACACUUUACAUUGGGGAAAGAACAAAUUGGAAAGGUAUACUCACAGCAAGAAGAACAAAAUAAACAGAGAAAAGAAAAAAGGAAAAGAGGCUUUCAGUAAAAUAGUAGAAACAUGGUGGAUCUGUUCAUCUGCAGAAUGACUGAUUGAUUUCGGUUUGUGGUAGGUGAAAUGCUAUUCCUUUUUUGGGACAAGCGGUUUCUCUCUUUUGUAUUUAAAAUUCUUUUCUCACCACACCUUUUAUGUCUCAUUUGAUUACUUAUUUUCAUUCUCUCUCUGUUCUUCUUUCUUGGGAAGUAAUUUUAGAUGUGUUUCUUUAUUGCAGGCUUGCCAGACUCCUAGUCCUUUGGAAAGUUCUUCAAAGUCAAAUAUGUGUUUACAAUGAGUAAUCUCCAGUGAUGUCAGUGGGCGUUAUCCCCAUGUCCGGAGGGUAAUAGAUUGGGCCCCUGUAAUGUAAGUAAUGCCUCAUUUUCUCUUGAGCUGGAAAGUCAUCUGAAUAUGCCUUAAAUGUUUCACAAGGGAGCUGAGAGGGAGGAAGAGAGGUUUAAUAUUCCUUUUUAGUUGCAUCACUUGCAUGUUUCUCAGUUGAACUGUGGAGUCCAAACCCAGAUUUUGGAAUUGUUUAAAUGACAACUAAGUUAUUGCUUAGCUUCUCAAAUAUUUUGGCUGCUCACUUAAUCAGUCAAGCUGCCGUACUCCCCCCAACAAAUGUACUCAUGGGAGAGCAAAUGGCAAAGAACAUGAACAGCCCGAAGUAGAGUGUUAGUGCUUUUGGCAGGGAGGUGCCAGCUGUCAUUGGAAACAAGUUCUGAAUUUGCUGUGAGGAUUUUUUUAAGGAAAGUGAGUCUUCAGAAAAGUUAUAAAAGGGAAUGAAGCCCAAGGCAGCGAUUCAGCAAUGUUUACUAAUGUUAUUUAUGCUUUUAUAUUAUUAAAAAAAUGCUAGUUGAAAAAAAAUACUUCUGACAAAGCAGUUCCUUAUUCUAUAUAAAGACACACACACACAACUUUGGAGAAAGAAAAGUUGUCCCAGUUCUUGAGGUUCGUGGGCCUUGAGUGAAUUUAAUUAAAAAGAAGGGGGGAAAAAAAAAAAAAAACAGCUUGUGCUCAGAGAACAUGAAAGCCUAAACACGUGAAACUUUUAUGAGUUAUGAACAUGGGAGCUGUGCUGUAGGAAACUUGCAAAGAAGUUCUGUAGCUUUCUAGUGGAAAUCCAGCACAGAGCUAUUUCAGAUGUUUAAAGGCCUGUUCUUUCUUCAAGUAAAUGCUUGUUUUCAUUUAAAAAGGAAGAAAGGGAGGGCUGGGGAAGACAGAGAGAAAUGACUAGAACAAAUGUUAACUUUGCAAAUCCCAAGGAUCCGCAAAAGCAACACAGAUAGGGACUCAUUUCAG